GUUUGCCUUAAAUUCAUUAUCAUUGUCUACAUGUCAGCACUUAGUCAUGUUGCAUGCAGUUUGCUUCUUUUUUGUUUUGACGUGUAAUGGAGAAUUUGAGGACUACAUGUAAUAGGCCAUCAAUGGAAAUGUUUAUGUUUGGAUACCAAAUUGCUAUAUCUUUUUAAUUGUGGAACUUAUCGAUCAAUACUGAACUCCUUAUAUAUGUUGUGGAGCCUAAAAAAUACUGCAGGAAGAUUAUUUCACAUUAUAGGACCAAUCUCCACAGAAGAACGCCCCUCCAGAAACUUGAAGAAUGUAUUAGUGUAAUGUGUAUUUGUACAAAUUUGUUUCUGGAAGGUGUUAGUGAGGUAUAUGAUCAAGAGAAAAUUGUUCUAUGCAAGGCCACAAAUCUAUUUUUGCAGUUUCGCUCUCUCCACCCUAUAAUAUUCUAGAAGCUUUAUUAAACAUGUUAUUUAUUUGGUUAAAGAUACAUAUGUUAUUGCGUAUGGCAGGUGAUCUAUGGUGAUACCGACUCAAUUUUGAUUUAUAGUGGACUUGAUAUCACCAAAGCCAAAGCAAUUGCAGGAAAGGUCAUUCAAGAGUUUUGUAGCACUGUGGUUACAGUAUUCUUAUUGGAGAUGACAUGUGCACCAGAUAUUGAUCCUGCACAAUGCAGACAUGCUAUGAUUAUCAGAAGUGAAGGAUAGUAUUAUAAAAAAACGCAGUGUAAAGUCUCAAGAAAAAGAAAUAUGCAGCUGUCAAAGUGCAUUUUAAAGACGGGGAACCAUAUGAGAGGUCAUUGAACGUAAUGGUCUUGACAUGGUCCAUCGUGAUUGGAGUUUGCUAUCUAAAGAACUUGGUGAUUUUUGCCUCAGUCAAAUACUAUCUGGAGGAUAUUGUGGAGUUGAUACAUAGCUCUCUUAUGAAGGUAAGCUAUCAUAUCAUACAUGCAUUACAGACAAAUUUGUCUGGUCUGCUCAAUAGAUUUUAACUAUCACCGGACAUGUGAUGGAUGCAGGUUGUGUUGACGUCAUUUUAGCUAUCAUAUCAUACAUGCAUUACAGACAAAUCCCUCCCGAAGGCUACUAUUUUUUGACAGAAGAUUAUUUGGAACUGAACAUCUUCUGUCACCUUCUUCCUUAUCAGAAAGCACCUGCAUUGCAUCAAUCAGUUCAGAUGAGUACUUCGAUUCAGUGGCCCUGUUGUGUGAUCUGGAGACUGGAAAUACGACUGAAAGUGUCCCAAACAUGCUGAUUGCAGGUUUAAUGUCUUUGCAUCUCAGGGAUCACAUCAGAUGGUUUUACAACCACCACCUUCAAAUCCUCAGCAGUUUAGAAGAACAUUUUGGUACCUGUGGGGAGAUCGCAAGGAUUUCAGCUCCGAAGGAUUAUGACACUGGUGCUUCCAAGGGGUCUGGUAGUCUGUAGAUCUUUCUCUUCUAGUCUUAGUAUCUGUUUCUCCCUUCACCUUUUCUUUUUGACAAUUGUGCCAUAUGUAUGUUUUUCUUACGUUUCAAAAAGAAAAAAUCUUGUUCUUGCAAUAUUGCUUUGAGCUAUGAUGUCUGUUGAGAGCAGCUCUUGUGAUUUGUGACAAGAGCUUGUCAAAAAGCUAUUGUUUUGCUAAAUGUGCGUAGAGAUAUGCUCGUGUUUUUGUUGCUUGUUAGGUAGCUUUUGCUUCACCUUUGUUUGCAAGUCAGCUUGGAUGUUUUCAAGACGAAGAAAAUAAAGAUUGACUUCUUGGUUGGAGCUGGCCUUCAGGUAAAGGGGAAGAGGUAAGUACCCAAAUCUCCCCUAUUGUUUUUCGAUUAUCAAAAUCUCAUUGCGAUCUUCAAAAUGAUAAUGCUCCCACAACCUUCUGUUUCAUCAACUAAAUUGUGGCUAGAAUGUCAAAUCCAUUAUUGGAUACUCAGUUUAAAUAUGGAUUGGUCACUCUCCUCUCUUCCUUGUACUAACAGUGGUUUGAUGAUGCUUUCAAAUGGUUUCUUCAUGCUUGUGAGGUUAUGUAACAAAGCUCACUUGAUAGAAAAGUUUGUUGUGUUGAACAUGUCAUACAUAAGUUGCAAACGUGUGGUUGCCCCCUGGCCCAUCUGAGAUAGCACAGUCAAGGCUAUGUUUGGGUUUAGCCUAGAAGCCCAACUAGGACUUCUAGUUGUAGAUCAAAAUUUUCAUCUCUUAAAUAUUCAGUCUUAAAAAAAUCAAUGUUUAACAGUGAGGUUUGCUAGUUCCCAUGCACCUUUGCAGAUAGAUGGACCUGCCAGGAAAUGUGGACUUUCGACGUGUGUAUUAGGUGAGAUCUAUAGUUUUGAUAUAUGACCAAAACUUUGUGUGCCUGCAUAUCAAACGUUUUAUUUGUUGUAUUUGAUUUAUUGAAGUUUAUUGAUUUGAUUUUAUCUUUCCUCUC
This is an RNA transcript of Magnolia sinica, 2382 nucleotides long. RefSeq lists it as uncharacterized. Lineage: Eukaryota; Viridiplantae; Streptophyta; Magnoliopsida; Magnoliales; Magnoliaceae. The record is from RefSeq and is a predicted model, not a curated record. The transcript has 5 exons.